UCCCCUUUUUGCUGGAUGUGUCUUUCAUCUGAUCACAUCUUCUUUCCUAUUACAAUCAGAAUAUAUAUACACAUAUAUUAUAUUAAAGUACUUCCUCCUCUCUCCAGGUGAACAGUGGGACUUGUCUUCAGCUUCAGGUGGAACAGCUCUGACCUGUGUGGGGAUCUGUGUGGAGAGGAGAGACACCUGGUCCAACAAGGUGAUGGACGGUUGAAAGGACGAAUCACCGAGA
This 232-nucleotide long non-coding RNA is filed under the name Sparus aurata (gilthead seabream). Its description in RNAcentral is "lncRNA (ENSSAUG00010011320.1)". The record is from RNAcentral. Lineage: Eukaryota; Metazoa; Chordata; Actinopteri; Spariformes; Sparidae.